GGUAAUGUGGGCCAGGAUGAGCGCUGAUGGGACUGUUUGAUUGGCUCUGGCCCAUUGUGGUGAUAUUCUGGUUGAAGGUUAUUAUUGUAUGCAAACACCUUUAUAAACAAGGAAUUUAGUGCCAGGCAAUUUUUUUUCCUCCAAUUCUUAUAUUGUAAUGACUCAAUUUAAUUGUGAAAGAAAAGCAGAAUUCACUCUUGAAAACCAAAGAAAUCUUUCAAAGGAAUUUUACUCUUACUCAUAAAGAGCAGUAAUAUUAAUAUGGAAAAUUAGAUAGGGAGGUCCAAAAUUUUCAUCACAUUAAUUAUGACAUGAUUAAAUUUUUGGUGUGAUGGUAGAAGGCAGUGAUGAAGGUGGGCACUGUUUUUUGGUUAAAUUCUAGAAAGGUUAAGAUAUUGCCCUGGAACAGGAGAUUCUAUAAAUGUCUUUACAUGCAUUCUGUUGUUGGUGUAUUAUAAGAGACACUAGGGUUAGGGCCCUUGGUAGAAGGGAAGUGAGUGCUGGCCUCUGUGAACUUCUAAUAAUUUUACAUGUGUAAGAUUUGGUGACAAUGUACUUCUUGAUGCAUGCCUGCGUAUUACAUUGCCUCUAUUGAGUUGCAUUCAACCCUUGUUCCCACCCAUAGGCCUAUGUCCAACAACU
RNAcentral lists this unclassified non-coding RNA (642 nucleotides) under Hevea brasiliensis (rubber tree). The record is from RNAcentral. Lineage: Eukaryota; Viridiplantae; Streptophyta; Magnoliopsida; Malpighiales; Euphorbiaceae.